This 427-nucleotide ribosomal RNA is filed under the name uncultured bacterium. RNAcentral describes it as "bacterial SSU rRNA". It matches the Rfam family "Bacterial small subunit ribosomal RNA", at positions 917 to 1345 of the family's 1533-position model. The record is from RNAcentral.
GGGCCCGCACAAGCGGUGGAGUAUGUGGUUUAAUUCGAUGCAACGCGAAGAACCUUACCAGGGUUUGACAUCCUGCGAAUCUCUUGGAAACAGGAGAGUGCCUUCGGGAACGCAGUGACAGGUGGUGCAUGGCUGUCGUCAGCUCGUGUCGUGAGAUGUUGGGUUAAGUCCCGCAACGAGCGCAACCCACGUCUUUAGUUGCCAGCAUUUAGUUGGGCACUCUAGAGAGACUGCCGGUGAUAAACCGGAGGAAGGUGGGGAUGACGUCAAGUCCUCAUGGCCCUUAUGUCCAGGGCUACACACGUGCUACAAUGGUUGGUACAAUGCGCAGCGAACCAGCGAUGGUAAGCGAAUCGCAAAAAGCCAAUCUCAGUUCGGAUUGGAGUCUGCAACUCGACUCCAUGAAGUCGGAAUCGCUAGUAAUCGU